Molecule: ribosomal RNA, 497 nt
Filed under: uncultured bacterium
Lineage: Bacteria
Description: partial 16S ribosomal RNA
Rfam family: Bacterial small subunit ribosomal RNA
Source: RNAcentral
GAUGAACGCUGGCGGCGUGCCUAAUACAUGCAAGUCGAGCGAACGGACGAGAAGCUUGCUUCUCUGAUGUUAGCGGCGGACGGGUGAGUAACACGUGGAUAACCUACCUAUAAGACUGGGAUAACUUCGGGAAACCGGAUCUAAUACCGGAUGAUGUUUUGAACCGCAUGGUUCAAAAGUGAAAGACGGUCUUGCUGUCACUUAUAGAUGGAUCCGCGCUGCAUUAGCUAGUUGGUAAGGUAACGGCUUACCAAGGCAACGAUGCAUAGCCGACCUGAGAGGGUGAUCGGCCACACUGGAACUGAGACACGGUCCAGACCCCUACGGGAGGCAGCAGUAGGGAAUCUUCCGCAAUGGGCGAAGGCCUGACGGAGCAACGCCGCGUGAGUGAUGAAGGUCCUCGGAUCGUAAAACUCUGUUAUUAGGGAAGAACAUAUGUGUAAGUAACUGUGCGCAUCUUGACGGUACCUAAUCAGAAAGCCACGGCUAACUACGUG